UCAGUGCGGCGCGAAGAUGGCGGCGGCGGCGGCGGGCCCCGGGGCGACCCAGGCACCGAGCUCGCUGCUGCUCGUGGUGGGCGGCGAGUGCGGGUGCUCGGGGCUGCUUGCUUAUGUGCUGGAGGAGCUCGAACGAGGCAUCCGGUCCUGGGACAUUGACCCUGGCAUUUGCAGCCUUGACGAGCAGCUCAAGAUUUUCGUGUCCCGGCACUCUGCCACCUUCUCCAGCAUCGUGAAAGGCCAGCGGAGCCUGCACCACCGCGGAGACGCCCUGGAGACACUGGUCCUCCUGAAUCCAUCAGACAAGUCCCUGUGCGACGAGCUCCGGAACCUUCUGCUGGACCCUGCCCCUCAUAAGCUGCUGGUAUUGGCUGGGCCCUGCCUGGAAGGGACAGGGGAGCUGCUGCUCCAGACGGGGGGCUUCUCGCCCCGCCACUUCCUCCAGGUCCUAGGGGACAAAGAGAUCCGGGAUCUUCUGGCAUCCACACCCCCACCUGCAGACCUGCCGAAGCUCACCAUCACCUGCCCAACCUUCGGUGACUGGGCCCAGCUGGCACCUGAGGUGCUGGGCCUCCAGGGCGCGCUCCGGGUGCAGUGGAACCCACCCGUGCAGCUGCCGGCUUCCGAGGGCCUGCGCCAGUUCCUGGAGUACGUGGCCGAGUCGCUGGAGGCCCCGUCUCCCUUUGAGCUGCUCGAGCCGCCAGCGUCCGUGGGCUUCCUCAGGCUCGCCCGGCCUUGCUGCUACAUCUUCCCCGGCGGCCUCGGCGACGCCGCCUUCUUCGCCGUCAAUGGCUUCACCGUGCUGGUCAACGGUGGCUCCAACCCCAAGUCGAGCUUUUGGAAGCUGGUGCGGCACCUGGACCGGGUGGACGCCGUGCUGGUGACCCACGCCGGCGCCGACAGCCUCCCGGGCCUCAACAGUCUCCUGCGGCGCAAGCUGGCCGAGCGAGAUGAGGCGGCGGCCGGCGGGGGCUCCGGGGACGACAGGCUCCGCAGGCUCAUCUCCCCCAACCUGGGGGUCGUGUUCCUCAACGCCCGCGUGGCCAUCUCGCGUCUGGUGAGCGGCGAGGACGAGGCGGAGCUGGCCCUGAGCCUCUUGGCCCGGCUAGGCAUCGCGCCCCUGACUCUGAACCGCGGGCCGCUCCCGGCCGAGCCCACCGUGCUCUUUCAGAAGAUGGGCGUGGGCCGGCUGGACAUGUAUGUGCUGCACCCGCCCGCGGCUGGUGCUGACCGCUCGUCGGCCUCCGUGUGCGCCCUGCUAGUGUGGCACCCCGCGGGCCCCACCGAGAAGGUGGUGCGCGUGCUGUUCCCCGGCUGCACACCUCCCGCCCGCCUCCUGGAUGGCCUGGUCCGCCUGCAGCACCUGGGGUUCUUGCGAGAGCCUGUGGUGACUCCCCAGGACCUAGUGGGGCCUCGGCGAGCUGAGAGCAAGGAAAGCGUGGGCUCCCGGGACAGCUUAAGAAGAGAAGGCCGGGCAACGGCAACGGCCAGGCCUGCCCCGGAGCGCCCUGUGGGGGCCCGGAAGGACCCGCCUCGAGUCGAGGCCCCCCGCAGGGCUGAGAAAGAAGCCAGGCUCCCCCGGGAGGUGAAGAAGGACCCCAAGCCAAGCGUCCCUCGGACCCAGCCCCAGGAGGUGCGCCGGGCAGCCUCCGCUUCGGUCAGCGUGAAGAAGGCGGGUGCCCAGGCCGCCCCCAGGCCCCGCAGGGCACCCAAUAUCCCCCGCCCGGGCGUCCCGCCGGCGGAGAACGGGCCCCACGGCCCCCCCAGCUUCCGCUGUGGAGAGGCCAGCCCACCGCCGCCAGAGGCCUGCGGCUCCCCCGCCCCCCAGCUGGUGGCCACCCCCAGCCAGGAGAGGAGCCUGGAGCUGGGGCUGAGCCCGGCCGGGGAGGACGGCGGCACCUUGGAGGAGAAGACGCUGGAGCUGCUUUUGGGUGCCAGCACCCCCCGGCCGCGUACACCCUCGCCUACCGGAGCCCACCAGGGCCCUGUGGAGGGCAGCGGGCGGCUGUCGCUGAGCCCGCUGCGGGGCGGGGAGGCUGGGCCGGAUGCCUCGCCCACGGUGACCACACCGUCACUGCCUGCCGAGGUGGGAUCCCCGCACUCCACGGAGGUGGACGAGUCCCUGUCCGUCUCCUUCGAGCAGGUGCUGCCGCCGCCGCCCGCCACCGCGGGCGAGGCUGGGCUGAGCCUCCCCCUCCGCGGCCCCCGGGUACGGCGAUCGGCCUCCCCGCACGACGUGGACCUGUGCCUGGUGUCACCCUGUGAGUUUGAGCACCGGAAGGCUGUGCCCGUGGUGCCCGCGCCCGCGUCCCCGGGCAGCUCUGAUAGCAGUGCCCGGUCCCAGGAGCGGGCGGGGGCCCCGGGAGCUGAGGAGACCCCACCCACCUCCGUCAGUGAGUCCCUGCCCACCCUGUCUGACUCGGACCCCCUGCCUGCCGCCCCCGGCAUCGCGGACUCGGAUGAAGACAUGGAGGGCGCAGGGGUCCCCCGCCGUGACCCGCUGCCCGAGCCCCUCAAGUUCCCCCCGCCGCUGCCCACCCCGCCCAGCAUCUGCAUGGUGGACCCCGAGGUGCUCCCCCCUGAGCAGGCCCGGCUGACGGAGGGCCACGGCCGCACCCGGAAGUCCGGGGUUCGCCCUCAGCCCAGCACUGCCACCUCCAAAGCCACUCCCGCGACCACUGCCAAAACCAAGGGACUGGCCGGUGGAGACCGGGCCGGUCGGCCCUUUGGCACCCGGAGCGAGCCCAGUGACAAGGGAGGUCGGGCACCCCUGUCCAGAAAGUCCUCGGUCCCCAAGACGACCACUCGGGGCCCAUCCGGGUCAGCUGGCAGCCGGCCAGGUGGGUCAGCAGCCCCUCCCGGCUCCCCCGUCUACCUCGACCUGGCCUACCUGCCCAGCGGGAGCAGCGCCCGGCUGGUGGACGAGGAAUUCUUCCGAAGGGUGCGUGCGCUCUGUUAUGUCAUCAGUGGCCAGGACCAGCGCAAGGAAGAGGGCAUGAGGGCUGUCCUGGAUGCACUGCUGGCCGGCAAGCAGCAAUGGGACCGUGACCUCCAGGUGACCCUGAUCCCCACCUUCGAUUCCGCGGCCAUGCACGAGUGGUACGAGGAGACACACGCCCGGCACCAGGCGCUGGGCAUCACCGUGCUGGGCAGCAACAGCACCGUGUCCAUGCAGGACGAGGCCUUCCCCGCCUGCAAGGUCGAGUUCUAGCUCGGCGCCUGACACCCGCCCCCGCAGCCCGGCAUCCGCCCCGACCCUGAGAUUCACCUGCGUCACAAAUAAACCAGAGAUACCUCAUGCUGGUGGCAGGAGAGUCACAUGCCACAGGGAGGUCUUAGAGGAGAACCUGGAACCCAGAGAUUACAAAACAUCCAUUCCCGAAGAACCCCUUGCCUGCUCUCUGCACGCGUGGAGAUAACCUAGCUAGAACGUUAGACGAGGUGCCCUGCGUCCUGGGUUGAACGGCGACCCGAAAAGCGUACAUCUGAGCCCUGACACCUGAUAUCUGUGAGUGUGACUGUUAAGUGAAGGCUCUUGAGAUUCUCUGGAUGGGCCCUAAGUCCAAUGACGCGUGUCCUUAUAAGAGACAGAGGAGGUGACACAGAGGGGAAGAGCACGCGGAGAUGGAGGCAGAGACUGGGGUGAUGGGGUGAUGGGGCCGCAGCCAAGGAAUGCUGCAGCCCCAGAAGCUGGUGAGGAGUGAUUCUCCCCUAGAACUUUCUGAAGGAACCGACCCUGUGCACACCUUGAUUUCAGAGCUGGGCCUCCAGAACUGCAAGAAUGAACUGUUGUGUGUGGGACCUUGUAACGGUCCCGGGAGAUGUUCUGAGCUGGUCGGCACACGGCUCGCUUCCCCCCACACGGUGGCCCGAGUCCCUGUGCGUGGUCGCGUAGGUGUCCUGGUACAGACUCCUUCCUCCGGCCGUCUCGGGCCCCGGCUCGGCGCGUCCAGGCUGCUGUGGCACAAUACCAGGCGGCUUCCCCGACAGACGCUUCCUUCCCGCAGCUCCGGAGGCUGGACGGCUGAGACCAGGGUGCCAGGGGUCGGCCGAGGGCGGGCCCUCCGGCUUCCAGAUGGCUGCCUUCUGGCUGUGUCCCCGCGUGGACAGGGAGGGGGCGUGGGGGCACAUCCUCUCACGGCCCCUCCUUCGGCAGCACCAACCCCGGGAUGGGACCCCCACCCCCCUGGCCUCCGCGACCUAACCCCCUCCCGAAGCGACCCCCUCCAGACACCAUCACGAAGGGGAGUGGGGCUCACGCAUAGGAAAUGAGGGGGUGUUUUGCACUAGUUAGGGCUCAGCUGAUCGAUGACUAGUGUCGUGGUUGGACUGGCCUUUGUGGUUCUGCUUACAAGACGCCCUUCCUCCGGACACCCAUCGGGAAACUGAAAAAAAAUAAAGGUUUCUCACUUACCAGACCUGGAGAUCACCCAGCGCCCCCAGGGCCACAUAGUGAGAGGGGCGAGGGGGGACUGAGACAGAGCUGCUUGGUCACUGGCUGGGCCUCUGCUCUUAUUGGGUCCAGGAUGGGAGCCCAGGGUUUCCAGGGCCCAUUGUUUCUUGGUAAACUUAAAACCUCCCGGUGGGAAUUUAAAGCGAUGGGAGGGAGCAAAAACAAAACAAAACGAGUGGCCCGAAAGGCCAGUUACCAAAAUCAACCAAGACCUCUAAAACAAGGAGCCACAGUCGGGGCAGGCAGCCUCUUUCUCUAGAGGCGUGGCUGGCGAGUAGGUUCAUUCCAGCUACCAUCUUUGAAGAGGAUGCCUGGGCAAUCAAAGCUUACGUCCCGCACUCGCAUCACAAGAAGGAAACAAACUGGCCUUACCCCACAGGGGGGCACACAAUUCCGUCUGGAGCUGGCAGGGCCGCAGCAGCCAGGGACACGUCUUGCCUACCAAGGGUUGGUUUGUGGGACCUGACUGCUUCGUGUGGGAGCCACCGAACCGGCGUCUGGCGGUCUUCCUGUGGGAUGUCGGGACUUGGCAAGGCCGGGCAUCAGGAAGGGCAGGUGGACGCCAAGGGAACCUGCGUGGGCGCCCACAGGGACAGGGCCCACAAGGGCACCGUCGCUGAGGCCGCGACCAAGGUCAAUGCGCACCUGGCCGGGACAGGUGCGGCAGCCGCCUGGGGAGCUCCCCAGCGCCUGGGACCUGGGUCUGUGACCCUGCGCCCUCUGUCCGUUUACUGGGAAAGCGGAAGUGCUGGGAUCCGAGCGCCCCCCCGCCAGGCGUGUCCUUCGCAAAGCAUGCGGGUUAGGGUUACGGCCCUUUGUCUUGCCUUUUCCUGUUGCGGUAAGGGUGGGCUUCUUCGCUCAGGGCCUGGGGGCGGGCCGCUGUUUAUAACACUGCCCGAGGUGACAUUUUGGCCAGACUGCCCUGUGGCAGGUGCUGCCUCCAAUUCUCCAUUUCGAUUAUCACCAGGGAGGGUUUCGCAUUGGUAUUAAUUGUUUAAUUGGCUGCUUCCACUGUUUUAUUAUAGGUGUUUCUUCUCACUGAUACGUCACAACUCUACUUUCUCAAGAAACGUGAGAAGGUUUUUAAUUGUGCUAAAAAACACGUAAGAUUUACCAUCUUAACCAUUAAGCUCUUGUGCGGUGAGUUUGUUUCCCUCCCCCCCCCACAUCUUUCCACUUUAUGAACAGUUUUUCUGUAAGCAUUUUGUUUUCAUGGUUUUCAAACCACAAUCUUUAAAGGUCUUCCUCGCGGCUGGCACAAGUUCUCCCAUGGUGUUUUCUCUGUGUUUCUCAUGUUAACUUUUAUUUUUAUCCGUCUAGGACUUAUUUGGGCAUGAAGAGAGAUGGAGGCGUUGCCCGAGCCCCAAGGGCCAGCCGAUUGUCCCGGGCCUGGUGCAGAUUUGAAACGCUCCCUCCUCCCUAAGACCCCAGUGGGUUUGCGUCUGUUUCUACAUCUGCUCUAAUCCAUCACCAGCUUUUCUGGCCCUCUCCCCUCUAUUUUCACUGGUAUAUAGUCUGGUGUCUCUUAAUAGCUGCUUAGCAGGUUCUUUCUCCUUAAUUUUAUUUUUUCCCUUCUUAAAUUCCCAGCUGUUUUCACAUGCUCCUUCCUCUUGGGAGUUCUAGAAUCUGCACAGAGGGCCCCAAACACAUGUAUGAGAAACGUCACGGGGGCGCCUGGCUGGCUCCUCUGGUAAAGAAUGUGACUCUUGAUCUUGGGGUUGUGAGUUCUAGCCCCACGCUGGGUGUUGAG
RNA transcript from Herpailurus yagouaroundi (jaguarundi), 6203 nucleotides. It is a transcript of the gene named microtubule associated protein 1S, with no coding region annotated. Lineage: Eukaryota; Metazoa; Chordata; Mammalia; Carnivora; Felidae. The record is from RefSeq and is a predicted model, not a curated record. The transcript has 8 exons.